Molecule: ribosomal RNA, 657 nt
Filed under: uncultured bacterium
Lineage: Bacteria
Description: bacterial SSU rRNA
Rfam family: Bacterial small subunit ribosomal RNA
Source: RNAcentral
CGGACGGGUGAGUAACGCGUGGGUAACCUGCCUUGUACAGGGGGAUAACAGUUGGAAACGGCUGCUAAUACCGCAUAAGCGCACAGCAUCGCAUGAUGCAGUGUGAAAAACUCCGGUGGUAUAAGAUGGACCCGCGUUGGAUUAGCUAGUUGGUGAGGUAACGGCCCACCAAGGCGACGAUCAGUAGCCGACCUGAGAGGGUGACCGGCCACAUUGGGACUGAGACACGGCCCAGACUCCUACGGGAGGCAGCAGUGGGGAAUAUUGCACAAUGGAGGAAACUCUGAUGCAGCGACGCCGCGUGAGUGAAGAAGUAUUUCGGUAUGUAAAGCUCUAUCAGCAGGGAAGACAGUGACGGUACCUGACUAAGAAGCUCCGGCUAAAUACGUGCCAGCAGCCGCGGUAAUACGUAUGGAGCAAGCGUUAUCCGGAUUUACUGGGUGUAAAGGGAGUGUAGGUGGUAUCACAAGUCAGAAGUGAAAGCCCGGGGCUCAACCCCGGGACUGCUUUUGAAACUGUGGAACUGGAGUGCAGGAGAGGUAAGUGGAAUUCCUAGUGUAGCGGUGAAAUGCGUAGAUAUUAGGAGGAACACCAGUGGCGAAGGCGGCUUACUGGACUGUAACUGACACUGAGGCUCGAAAGCGUGGGGAGCAAACA